ACUAAAAUGGCAGAAAAAAGUGCAGUAGAAUUAAGCUCUACAAAUAAAAUUAUAAUAUUUUUUUUAGUU
Molecule: transfer RNA, 69 nt
Filed under: Katharina tunicata (black chiton)
Lineage: Eukaryota; Metazoa; Mollusca; Polyplacophora; Chitonida; Mopaliidae
Description: tRNA-Leu
Source: RNAcentral